Molecule: ribosomal RNA, 463 nt
Filed under: uncultured bacterium
Lineage: Bacteria
Description: partial 16S ribosomal RNA
Rfam family: Bacterial small subunit ribosomal RNA
Source: RNAcentral
GAUGAACGCUGACAGAAUGCUUAACACAUGCAAGUCUUUGGCGAAGCUGUGCUUGCACAGCCUAGCCAAGGCGGACGGGUGAGUAACGCGUAAGGAACUUGCCCUGCAGUCAGGGAUAACAGACGGAAACGACUGAUAAGACCUGGUAAAGUCAGGCGGACUCAUGUCCAGCCUGAUGAAAAGUGAUGCUGCAGGAGAGCCUUGCGUCCUAUUAGCUUGUUGGUGGGGUAACGGCCCACCAAGGCGAUGAUAGGUAGCCGGCCUGAGAGGGUGGACGGCCGCAAGGGGACUGAGAUCCGGCCCUUACUCCUACGGGAGGCAGCAGUGGGGAAUAUUGGACCAUGGGGGCAACCCUGAUCCAGCAAUUCUGUGUGCACGAUGAAGGUUUUCGGAUUGUAAAGUGCUUUCAGCAGGGAAGAAAAAAAUGACGUUACCUGCAGAAGAAGCGACGGCUAAAUACGUG